GAUGAACGCUGGCGGCGUGCCUAAUACAUGCAAGUCGAGCGAACGGACGAGAAGCUUGCUUCUCUGCUGUUAGCGGCGGACGGGUGAGUAACACGUGGAUAACCUACCUAUAAGACUGGGAUACCUUCGGGAAACCGGAGCUAAUACCGGAUAAUAUUUUGAACCGCAUGGUUCAAAAGUGAAAGACGGUCUUGCUGUCACUUAUAGAUGGAUCCGCGCUGCAUUAGCUAGUUGGUAAGGUAACGGCUUACCAAGGCAACGAUGCAUAGCCGACCUGAGAGGGUGAUCGGCCACACUGGAACUGAGACACGGUCCAGACUCCUACGGGAGGCAGCAGUAGGGAAUCUUCCGCAAUGGGCGAAAGCCUGACGGAGCAAUGCCGCGUGAGUGAUGAAGGUCUUCGGAUCGUAAAACUCUUUUAUUAGGGAAGAACAUAUGUGUAAUUAACUGUUCACAUCUUGACGUUACCUAAUCAGAAAGCCACGGCUAACUACGUG
This 497-nucleotide ribosomal RNA is filed under the name uncultured bacterium. Its description in RNAcentral is "partial 16S ribosomal RNA". It matches the Rfam family "Bacterial small subunit ribosomal RNA", at positions 28 to 507 of the family's 1533-position model. The record is from RNAcentral.